GUCACGGAUUGAGCUUUGAUGAGCUGGGUUUUCUUGAGCUCCGGAUCAUGUUUUUCCUCUUCACUUAUUCUGGACUCUGUGGUUAAAGUCAUUGUGUUCCCAAAGUCAUGUUCCAGCAUAUGCAUUUUUGAGUUUUAUUUGACCAUUUCGAGAAAUACAAGAUUCACUAGGCUUCUGGGGUACACAGCAAAAAGAAGUGCUAAUUGUCAAACACCUCAAUGAUUGUAAGAACAAGAAGGAGAAAGAAAAGAGACUGUUCUUCAAGUGGAAGGAAGGUUCAGACUAUCCUGUUUGUACAAUUUUGAAAAUUGAGAAAAUGUCAGUUGCUUGUGAGCUGUUGCAAUGAAAUAAAAAUCCUCAUCUAUUUAUUUAUUUGGUGUGU
RNAcentral lists this long non-coding RNA (382 nucleotides) under Mus spicilegus (steppe mouse). Its description in RNAcentral is "lncRNA (ENSMSIG00000019033.1)". The record is from RNAcentral. Lineage: Eukaryota; Metazoa; Chordata; Mammalia; Rodentia; Muridae.